UUUCGUGUGUGUUUUUGUGAAGGUUUGAGCUUUGUUUUAAUGGAGAGAAGAUGGUGAAGUCGGGAAAUGAAACGGAUACGAAUGGCGUGGACAGUGAUAAUAACAACAAUAACAAUAACAGUAAUAACAAUAUGAUGGAUGUAUUCAGAUGGUCUUUGUGUAAGAAGCCUCUUCCUCAGACGCUUAUGUGCUCCAUCGGCAUCCCUUUGCCGCCUGAACAUCUAAAGCUUAUUGGGUCGAUUUGAUGUAUGACGGUGUUUGAAGUGCUGUUAUCCGAGGACGAUCAGGUGGUGUUGGAGUAACAUAAUUUAGAGUAAUUUUGCAGCUCAUUUCUCAAUCCGGUUGGCAUGCUUCAGUUAUGCUUCAUACUACACUUUAUCUAUGGUGUCGAGGCUUCCGUUUGUGGCGUUCUCACCGUUAUCGCCGUUCAGAUGUCAUCUUCAUCGGUCGUUUGGGUAAUUUAUUUAUGGUGUCUAGGCUUCUGUUUG
Molecule: long non-coding RNA, 488 nt
Organism: Helianthus annuus (common sunflower)
Lineage: Eukaryota; Viridiplantae; Streptophyta; Magnoliopsida; Asterales; Asteraceae
Exons: 3
Source: RefSeq, a predicted model, not a curated record